Molecule: long non-coding RNA, 865 nt
Filed under: Salmo salar (Atlantic salmon)
Lineage: Eukaryota; Metazoa; Chordata; Actinopteri; Salmoniformes; Salmonidae
Description: lncRNA (ENSSSAG00000088689.1)
Source: RNAcentral
UAGACAAACUUGUAUUUUUGAGAAGAUCAGGGAGUUUUGCGACAAAGAGGCUAUGGACAUCACAUGCCCUGCACCAAAGUCAAGGGGGAUCUCUGCUCUUACGUGACACUUUCUACGGCUCACAUGGACUCUCAGAAGGCGGCAAAAUGCUGAAUCGUGGCUUUGCAGGCUCUGGCUGAAACAAAGUAGCGCGUUUGGAUAGUGGCUGGUUACUUCCGGUUUGGAGCGAGCAGUCGCACUACGCUUCGCUCCACAGGCCGGUGGUGGCUGGCCCACUCCAGGAGGCUGAAAUGCGGGAGGUUCCUCCGCCCCCUCUGGACAUCGAGGGGGCCCCGGCGUACUCCGUUCGAUUCAUCCUGGAUUCGAGACGUCGGGCGAGGGGCCUUCAGUACCUCGUGGACUGGGAGGGGUAAGGUCCUGAGGAGAGAUUCUGGGUUCCGGUGGAGGACGUGUUAGAUCCUUCCUUGCUGCGAGAGUUCCACCGUCUCCAUCCGGGUCGUCCUCGAGGCCGGUGUCGACGCGUCAGAGGGGGUACUGUCACGACUUCUGCCGAAGUCAAUGCCCCUCCUUGUUCGGGCGGUGCUCGGCGGUCGACGUCACCGGUCUUCUAGCCAUCAUUGAUCCAUUUUUCAUUUUCCAUUGGUUUUGUCUUGUCUUCCUACACACCUGGUUCCAAUCCCAUUCAUUACAUGUUGUGUAUUUAACCCUCUGUUUCCCCUCAUGUCCUUGUCAGAGAUUGUUUGUUGUUAUGUGCUCGUGUUGUUGUAUUGGUGCACGACAGGUUAUUAUACCCAUGUUUAUUGUAGUAUGUAUGUUGGUUUUGGAGUUUGUUUUUAACUUUAUUAAACUACUCCAGUUCCACCAA